Molecule: transfer RNA, 64 nt
Filed under: Amerotyphlops reticulatus (reticulate worm snake)
Lineage: Eukaryota; Metazoa; Chordata; Lepidosauria; Squamata; Typhlopidae
Description: tRNA-Ala
Source: RNAcentral
AGAGUUUUAGCUUAAUUAAAGUGUCUGUGUUGCAUGCAGGAGAUGUGACGUGUUGCAAACUCUC